AGGAAGCUGCGGACUGCUCAGUAACAGACAUAUAAUUUAAUCUUUACAGAAACGAGCGGAAUAAACUCAGGAAACAGAGUGCAAUACGUAAAAGACGAAUUUUUUAUUAUAAGAAAUACGUUUUUAGCUUGAACAAAGCGGUAAAGAAUAAGUUGUCAGCCUAUCAGUUAGUAAGUAGGGUAAGGGCCUAUUUAGACGAAGACGGGUACGGGGAAUUAGAGUUUGAUUCCGGAGAGGGAGCCUGAGAAAUAGCUACCAGGUCCAAGGACGGCAGCAGGCGCGAAAAUUACCGAAGCUCGAAUAGAGGCGGUAGUAAUGAGACGUAUUAAUAUAAAACAAGGGUAAAAAACUUGUUAGUAACUGGAGGUCAAGUCUGGUGCCAGCAUCCGCGGUAAUACCAGCUCCAGGGGUGUCUAUGAUGAUUGCUGCGAUUAAAAGGUCCGUAGUCGAAUUUAUAUAAUUGUUUGUAAUAUGCUAGAUAAAAUAACAGAAAGAACAAUUACUUUAAAUGAAAGGAAUAGUAAGGGGCUGAUUAAUUGAGCAACGAGAGGUGAAAUUUGAUGACUUGCUUAGGAGAAACAGAGGCGAAAGCGUCAGUCAAGUAUAAAUCCUAUGAUCAAGGACGUAGGCUAGAGUAUCGAACACGAUUAGAUACCGUAGUAGUUCUAGCAGUAAACUAUGCCUACACUAUCGAAUAAAAGUUUGGUAGAAGAGAAAUCUUAAGUAGGGCUUUGGGGAGAGUACACGCGCAAGCGAUAAAUUUAAAGGAAAUUGACGGAAGAACACCACAAGGAGUGGAGUGUGCGGCUUAAUUUGACUCAACGCGGGACAGCUUACCAUACCCGAGGACUAUAAGAGUGAAUACACGAUAAGUCUAAAAGUGGUGCAUGGCCGUUAUCGACGAGUGAAGUGAUUUUAUGGUUAAAUCCGACAAGUUGUGAGACCCU
Molecule: ribosomal RNA, 947 nt
Filed under: Microsporidium sp. RW-2009a
Lineage: Eukaryota; Fungi; Microsporidia
Description: SSU rRNA
Rfam family: Microsporidia small subunit ribosomal RNA
Source: RNAcentral